This 314-nucleotide ribosomal RNA is filed under the name Blepharisma stoltei. Its description in RNAcentral is "SSU rRNA". It matches the Rfam family "Eukaryotic small subunit ribosomal RNA", at positions 750 to 1068 of the family's 1831-position model. The record is from RNAcentral. Lineage: Eukaryota; Ciliophora; Heterotrichea; Heterotrichida; Blepharismidae.
CUUUACCUUGAGCAAAUGAGAGUGUUCCAGGCAGGCUUGGGCCUGAAUCGUCCAGCAUGGAAUAAUAGAAGAGGACUGGGCUCCAUUUAUUGGUGUUAUGGCGCUUAGUAAUGAUUAAUAGGGAUAGUUGGGGGCAUUUGUAUUUAAUUGUCAGAGGUGAAAUUCUAUGAUUUAUUAAAGACAAACUUAUGCGAAAGCAUUUGCCAAGGAUGUUUUCAUUAAUCAAGAACGAAAGUUAAGGGAUCAAAGACGAUCAGAUACCGUCGUAGUCUUAACCAUAAACUAUGCCGACUAGAGAUUGGAGGUGCCAUUAA